RNAcentral lists this ribosomal RNA (1349 nucleotides) under metagenome. Its description in RNAcentral is "bacterial LSU rRNA". It matches the Rfam family "Bacterial large subunit ribosomal RNA", at positions 1568 to 2890 of the family's 2925-position model. The record is from RNAcentral.
GAUGGGAGCCGUUAUGGCUCGAUAUCCGGUUGUCCAGGCCGUCGAGAAAAGCCUCGGCGUGAGGGCCAUGGCCGCCCGUACCCCAAACCGACACCGGUGGUCAGGUAGAGAAUACCAAGGCGAUCGAGCGAAUCCUGGUCAAGGAACUCGGCAAAUCACUCCCGUGCCUUCGGUAUAAGGGAGACCCGCUGGGGUGAACCGGCUAGCCCGGGGAGCUUUGGUGGGUGGCACAGACCAGGGGGUAGCGACUGUUUACCAAAAACACAGGUGCAUGCGAAGGCGAAAGCCGCUGUAUAUGCACUGACGCCUGCCCGGUGCCGGAAGGUUAAGAGGAUCCGUCAAUCCCUUCGGGGACGAAGCGGUGAAUUCAAGCCCCGGUAAACGGCGGUGGUAACUAUAACCAUCCUAAGGUAGCGAAAUUCCUUGUCGGGUAAGUUCCGACCUGCACGAAUGGCGUAACGACUUCCCCACUGUCUCGACCAGGAGCUCGGCGAAAUUGCAGUACGAGUAAAGAUGCUCGUUAAGCGCAGAAGGACGAAAAGACCCCGGGACCUUUACUAUACCUUGGUAUUGGCGUUAGGCGCGGAUUGUGUAGCAUAGGCGGGAGGCUUCGAAGCGGGUGCGCCAGCAUUCGUGGAGCCGCAAGGUGAAAUACCGCUCUGUUCUCGUUUGACGUCUAACCUCGACAAGUCAUCCUUGUCAGGGACAGUGCCUGGCGGGUAGUUCAACUGGGGCGGUUGCCUCCCAAAGAGUAACGGAGGCGCUCAAAGGUCCGCUCAGCCCGGUUGGCAAUCGGGUGUCGAGUGUAAUCGCACAAGCGGGCUUGACUGCGAGGACGACGGUCCGAGCAGGGACGAAAGUCGGAGAUAGUGAUCCGGUGCCGGCGCACGGGCGCGGCAUCGCUCAACGGAUAAAAGGUACCCCGGGGAUAACAGGCUGAUCAUUCCCAAGAGUCCAUAUCGACGGGAUGGUUUGGCACCUCGAUGUCGGCUCGUCGCAUCCUGGGGCUGGAGCAGGUCCCAAGGGUUCGGCUGUUCGCCGAUUAAAGCGGCACGCGAGCUGGGUUCAGAACGUCGUGAGACAGUUUGGUCUCUAUCCUCUGCGCUCGUUGGAAUCCUGAGGAGGCCUGCCCAUAGUACGAGAGGACCUGGGCGGACGAACCUCUGGUAUGCCGGUUGUCGCGCCAGCGGCACGGCCGGUUGGCUACGUUCGGGAGGGAUAACCGCUGAAAGCAUCUAAGCGGGAAGCCUGCUCCAAGAUUAGGAUUCCAUGGAUCUUCGAGAUCCUGUAGCCCGCAUGUUGAACACGUGUUUGAUAGGCCGGAGGUGGAAGCCCCGUGAGGGGUGGAG